This 359-nucleotide ribosomal RNA is filed under the name Anchisquilla fasciata. RNAcentral's name for it is "partial 16S ribosomal RNA". It matches the Rfam family "Archaeal large subunit ribosomal RNA", at positions 2000 to 2549 of the family's 2987-position model. The record is from RNAcentral. Lineage: Eukaryota; Metazoa; Arthropoda; Malacostraca; Stomatopoda; Squillidae.
UUAAAGGGCCGCGGUAUUCUGACCGUGCGAAGGUAGCAUAAUAAUUAGUCUCCUAAUUAGAGGCUUGUAUGAAUGGUCGGACAAGAUGGGAACUGUCUCAAUACAAUAAAUAAAAUUUAAUAUUUAAGUAAAAAAGCUUAAAUAAUAUGGAGGGACGAUAAGACCCUAUAAAGCUUUAUAGUAUAUUUCUUUUGUAUAAAUUAUUUUGUUACUAACAUAUUUUAGAACAUAUAUUAUUUUACUGGGGCGGUAAAAGUAUAAUAAAGACUAACUGCUUUUAUUUUGAAUAACAAUUGUAGUUGGAAAUAAAUUGAUCCAUUAUUAAUGAUUAUAAAACCAAGUUACUUUAGGGAUAACAG